AGUGGAUGGGGAGCAACCUAGUUGUGCGUGUGUAAAGGUAGUGCCAAGAAAAGCGAUGAUCAUGUUGAAAAUCAAUUCCCGGUACCCGAAACCGACACAGGUGGGCAAGUAGAGAAUACUAAGGGGCGCGAGGUAACUCUCUCCAAGGAACUCGGCAAAAUGACCCCGUAACUUAGGGAGAAGGGGUGCCACCGAGAGGUGGUCGCAGUGAAGAGGCCCAGGCGACUGUUUAGCAAAAACAUAGGUCUCUGCAAACUCGAAAGAGGAGGUAUAGGGGCUGACGCCUGCCCAGUGCCGGAAGGUUAAAGAAGUUGGUCAGUUUUAGGAUGAAGCUAGCGACUGAAGCCCCGGUGAACGGCGGCCGUAACUAUAACGGUCCUAAGGUAGCGAAAUUCCUUGUCGGGUAAGUUCCGACCCGCACGAAAGGCGUAACGAUCUGGGCGCUGUCUCGGAGAGAGGCUCGGCGAAAUAGGAUUGUCUGUGAAGAUACGGACUACCUGCAUUUGGACAGAAAGACCCUAUGAAGCUUUACUAUAGCUUGGAAUUGUGUUCGGGCUUCCUGUGCGCAGGAUAGGUGGGAGGCGUAGAAGGUAUUCUUGUGGGGAUACUGGAGCCAACGGUGAGAUACCACUCUCAGGAGGCUAGAAUUCUAACUUAAUUAAGGACAGUUUCAGGUGGGUAGUUUGACUGGGGCGGUCGCCUCCAAAAAGGUAACGGAGGCGUACAAAGGUUCCCUCAGACUGGUUGGAAAUCAGUCGAAGAGUGCAAAGGCAGAAGGGAGCUUGACUGCGAGAAGUACAGUUCGAGCAGGGUGGAAACACGGUCUUAGUGAUCCGACGGUGCUGUGUGGAAGGGCCGUCGCUCAACGGAUAAAAGUUACUCUAGGAUAACAGGCUGAUCUCCCCCAAGAGUUCACAUCGACGGGGAGGUUUGGCACCUCGAUGUCGGCUCAUCGCAACCUGGGGCGGAAGUACGUCCCAAAGGGUUGGGCUGUUCGCCCAUUAAAGCGGUACGUGAGCUGGGUUCAGAACGUCGUGAGACAGUUCGGUCCAUAUCCGAUGUAGGCGUGAGAAUAUUGAGAGGAGCCUUCCUUAGUACGAGAGGACCGGGAAGGACGCACCGCUGGUGUACCUGUUAUGAUGCCAAUUGUAAACGCAGGGUAGCCAAGUGCGGAGAGGAUAACCGCUGAAAGCAUCUAAGUGGGAAGCCCACCUCAAGAUGAGUAUUCUGGUGUAAGGUCACGGGAAGACGACCCGUAAAUAGGCACGAGGUGGAAGUGCAGAGAUGUAUGAAGCCGAAGUGUACUAAUAGACCGUCGGCU
RNAcentral lists this ribosomal RNA (1321 nucleotides) under metagenome. RNAcentral's name for it is "bacterial LSU rRNA". It matches the Rfam family "Bacterial large subunit ribosomal RNA", at positions 1561 to 2925 of the family's 2925-position model. The record is from RNAcentral.